RNAcentral lists this ribosomal RNA (477 nucleotides) under uncultured organism. RNAcentral's name for it is "partial 16S ribosomal RNA". It matches the Rfam family "Bacterial small subunit ribosomal RNA", at positions 333 to 801 of the family's 1533-position model. The record is from RNAcentral.
ACACUCCUGCGGGAGGCAGCAGUGGGGAAUUUUGGACAAUGGGCGAAAGCCUGAUCCAGCAAUGCCGCGUGAGUGAAGAAGGCCUUCGGGUUGUAAAGCUCUUUUGUCAGGGAAGAAACGGUGAAAGCUAAUAUCUUUUGCUAAUGACGGUACCUGAAGAAUAAGCACCGGCUAACUACGUGCCAGCAGCCGCGGUAAUACGUAGGGUGCAAGCGUUAAUCGGAAUUACUGGGCGUAAAGCGUGCGCAGGCGGUUUUGUAAGUCUGAUGUGAAAUCCCCGGGCUCAACCUGGGAAUUGCAUUGGAGACUGCAAGGCUAGAAUCUGGCAGAGGGGGGUAGAAUUCCACGUGUAGCAGUGAAAUGCGUAGAUAUGUGGAGGAACACCGAUGGCGAAGGCAGCCCCCUGGGUCAAGAUUGACGCUCAUGCACGAAAGCGUGGGGAGCAAACAGGAUUAGAUACCCGUGUAGUCCCAUGAU